This 18-nucleotide non-coding RNA is filed under the name Lagothrix lagotricha (brown woolly monkey). Its record names the gene lla-miR-139. The record is from miRBase by way of RNAcentral. Lineage: Eukaryota; Metazoa; Chordata; Mammalia; Primates; Atelidae. RNAcentral also lists the same sequence under 2 other names.
UCUACAGUGCACGUGUCU